Molecule: transfer RNA, 65 nt
Filed under: Astalotermes sp. A JRA-2021a
Lineage: Eukaryota; Metazoa; Arthropoda; Insecta; Blattodea; Termitidae
Description: tRNA-Ser
Source: RNAcentral
GAAGUGGAAGUAAAGUGAAUGCUGCUAACUUAUCACUAUAGCGGUUAAAAUCCGUUUACACUUCU